AUGCAGGUGCAGGUCUGACUCCUGGUGUGCUGUCCUUUACACUGCACAGGGCAGCCAGCGCACAGUGGCUUUGGGCCAGUUGUCUGCGCUGCCUGACGCCCUGCAUGCUGCAGCUUAUCCGUCUGCAUUGAGGAAGCUGAGACCAGGUCAGGGGCAGGGUCCGGGAUGCCCAAGCGCCCCAUCGCCCCAGGCGCGUGGACUCCCAAGUCUUUCGACCAGGACUCCACUACCUCCUAGCAGUGUGACAUGGAACAAGCGACUUCGGAUCCCAUCCGAACGUCGGGUCCUGCGGGAUUGUUGUGAGAAUUAAACGAGAAUAGUAACCGCAUGACACUGGGGAGGGCAGGAAGGAGGCCGUGCUGCCUCUGCUUCGCUCUUCACGAGGGGCCAGCAGCGCGCACAGAACAACGCCACCCGACCCCCCGGCCCGCGUUCAGGCUGCGCGCAUGCGCACUCGGCGAGAACCCGGAGGGCGCGCCACGGGCUCUGCGGCUGCGCAUUCGUCCAGCUUUGCGGCCGCACUACUUGACGGCAGAGGUGCCCCCCCACCCCCACCCCGCCCCACACCCGGGCCGGCGUUGUCGGGGUAACGGCGAGCGCGUGGGGUGGAUGAAGGGUUAUUUUGGAAAAGGAAUUCUGUCUAGAAGCCGUCCAAACUUCACCAUUUCAGAUCCCAAGCUGGUUGCUAAAUGGAAAGAUAUGAAGACAAAUAUGCCUAUAAUCACAUCAAAGAAGUAUCGUCAUCGUGUCGAAUGGGCCACAAAGCUCAUGCGAAGACAGGGGAAGGAUGAGAGUACAGUGCACAGAAUCCUUGAAGAUUACACAAAACCACUUGAGCAUCCUUGCUUAGAACAGAAUGAAGACGUUCCAUUGCAUGAUGAGCUGAACUCUGAAAUGGUUUCCAAAAUAGAAGCCACAGCAGAUAGGAAGGAACUUUCUGUGAUGAAUGGAGACUUGAAAAAGUCAGGUGAUAUGGAGCAUCCCAGCAAGCCAUCAGACUGCCUGCAGGAAGGCCCUGGGCAUGACCCACUACCUGCAAACGGCUUGGAUGAACAGUUAUUAGAGGUCACUGUGCCUCUGUCCCAAGCCCAUUGUAGCCAAAAAGGUGUUCUCUCCCAGUGUGGCAGUCAGGACAGCAGCCAGCGAGCGGGUCUCCUCUGUGCCAGAGAGAGCGGACCUGAUGAUGAGUACGUGCUGGUGGAGGAAGUCGUGUGUGAUGUGAACGAGAAGGAAGAUGCCCCAUGUGAGAAAUUGGCACAAGAGAAGAGACUAAUCUGCAGAAGAAAUCCAUACAGGAUCUUUGAGUAUUUGCAGCUCAGCCUAGAGGAGACCUUCUUCCUGGUCUAUGCUCUGGGAUGUCUAAGUGUUUACUCUGGAAAGGAGCCUUUAACGAUUAUGAAACUCUGGAAAGUUUUCACGGCAGUUCAGCCCACAUUCAGGACUACCUAUAUGGCAUACCAUUACUUCCGGAGCAAGGGCUGGGUGCCCAAAGUGGGACUUAAGUACGGAACAGACCUACUACUGUAUCGAAAAGGACCUCCAUUUUACCAUGCAAGUUAUUCUGUCAUUAUUGAGUUAGUUGAUGACCAUUUUGAGGGCUCUCUUCGAAGACCUUUCAGUUGGAAGUCACUGGCUACCUUGAGCAGAGUGUCAGUGAAUGUCUCCAAGGAACUCCUGCUGUGCUAUCUGAUUAAACCCUCUACCAUGACUGACAAAGAAAUGGAAUCCCCAGAAUGCAUGAAGAGAAUUAAAGUUCAGGAAGUGAUUCUGAGCCGCUGGGUUUCUUCACGAGAGAGGAGUGACCAAGAUGAACUUUAACAAUUUGACCUCAGAAUUCUGAUUUCUCCAAAAAAUAUUUAUUGAGUCUCCUACAAUAAGCCAAGCUCAGGGCAAGCCUUUGAGUUCAGAUGGUGGACCCUCCACAGGAAGGUGUGAGGCUUGGAGAUAUGGCCACUGUCAGAAGUGAAAGUGGAGGACGUGGCCUGAGAGCUUCUGCAUGCAGUGCCUUUACACCAUCCCAACCACUGAAGUGACACCAGCCUGGAAAAUCCUGUGAAAUCAGAAAUGGGGCUUGUCUGGUUGGAGGUUAAAAAGGAAGAAUGCCCUCCACACAGGGCUGGGUAUGUGCUGGCACCGCUGGGUGGUGGGCCCCUACCUCAAAGGUUGGGGUGCAGCCUGAGAUCCCACUCACCAGGGACCUGCUCAUGCAUGUCAAUCUGCAUACAUCUUCAGGGGAUUCACAGAUUCUGUGAGGACCAUCUGUGGGCCCAAGGUGGGAGCCGUACGUGGUUCCUGACUUAAUUUGUUUCCCUGGAGAUGAUUUUAUUGAAAGUGAGGCAGUGAAAUGAGCCUCCUAGAAAGGACCCGUUUCGACCUCAGCUCUGCCUCUCAGUGGCUACGUGACCUUGGGCAACUUACUUGCCCCUUAUGAGCUUCAAUGGGGCACCCGUAUGUCGUUCUGGAACCCAGACCUACCCUGCCUUUAAGGCACCACCUCCUCAAGUUAGAGUCCAUAGCUUAUAGUUUUCAGGAUUUUUGAACUAUUUGUUAAGGCUCUGGUUUUGGUAUUAAGUUUCAGCAAUCCCUUAGUCUCUCUGAUUGGCUUUGGGUGGAGGACAGGAUGGCUAAGAUGAGCUCCUUGGUCUGAAGUCAGACGCAGGUUUGCAUCCCAACUCAUCCACUUACUGACCCUACAAUCUUAACCUCAGUUUUCCUCAUCUAUCAGAUGAUGUUAGUGUUAUCAACGUACACAUACAAUGGAAUGCUAUUCAGCCACCCCAAAAAAAGGACAUGCUACAACGGCGAUGAAUCCCGAAAACAUGCCAAGUGAAAGAACCCAGACACAAAACGUUAUGUAUUGUUUGAUUCCAAUUAUAUACCCCAAACAGGUAAAUCCCAUGAGAGAGAACACAUUGGUGGUGACCAGGGGCAGUAGGGGGAGAGGGCUGAGGAGCUUAUGGUACAGAAUCACCUUUCAGGUGAUGAAAUGACUUGGAACUCAAUAGAGGGGGUUGCACACUGUACUAAAUGCCACUGAAUCUUUUGCUUUAUAAUCAUUAUUAGUGUAAUAUGAAUCUCACCUCAAUAAAAAAUAUUAACGUCGUCAA
RNA transcript from Myotis daubentonii (Daubenton's bat), 3107 nucleotides. It is a transcript of the gene named tRNA splicing endonuclease subunit 2, with no coding region annotated. The record is from RefSeq and is a predicted model, not a curated record. NCBI's taxonomy places the organism in Eukaryota, Metazoa, Chordata, Mammalia, Chiroptera, Vespertilionidae.